AUGAACGCUGGCGGCGUGCCUAAUACAUGCCAGUCGAGCGAACAGACGAGGAGCUUGCUCCUCUGACGUUAGCGGCGGACGGGUGAGUAACACGUGGAUAACCUACCUAUAAGACUGGGAUAACUUCGGGAAACCGGAGCUAAUACCGGAUAAUAUAUUGAACCGCAUGGUUCAAUAGUGAAAGACGGUUUUGCUGUCACUUAUAGAUGGAUCCGCGCCGCCUUAGCUAGUUGGUAAGGUAACGGCUUACCAAGGCAACGAUGCGUAGCCGACCUGAGAGGGUGAUCGGCCACACUGGAACUGAGACACGGUCCAGACUCCUACGGGAGGCAGCAGUAGGGAAUCUUCCGCAAUGGGCGAAAGCCUGACGGAGCAACGCCGCGUGAGUGAUGAAGGUCUUCGGAUCGUAAAACUCUGUUAUUAGGGAAGAACAAAUGUGUAAGUAACUAUGCACGUCUUGACGGUACCUAAUCAGAAAGCCACGGCUAACUACGUG
This 496-nucleotide ribosomal RNA is filed under the name uncultured bacterium. RNAcentral's name for it is "partial 16S ribosomal RNA". It matches the Rfam family "Bacterial small subunit ribosomal RNA", at positions 29 to 507 of the family's 1533-position model. The record is from RNAcentral.